RNAcentral lists this ribosomal RNA (466 nucleotides) under Streptococcus sobrinus. Its description in RNAcentral is "bacterial SSU rRNA". It matches the Rfam family "Bacterial small subunit ribosomal RNA", at positions 28 to 471 of the family's 1533-position model. Lineage: Bacteria; Bacillati; Bacillota; Bacilli; Lactobacillales; Streptococcaceae. The record is from RNAcentral.
GACGAACGCUGGCGGCGUGCCUAAUACAUGCAAGUGGAACGCAUUGGUAACACCGGACUUGCUCCAGUGUUACUAAUGAGUCGUGAACGGGUGAGUAACGCGUAGGUAACCUGCCUGAUAGCGGGGGAUAACUAUUGGAAACGAUAGCUAAUACCGCAUAAGAGGAGUUAACUCAUGUUAACUGUUUAAAAGAAGCAAUGGCUUCACUAUCAGAUGGACCUGCGUUGUAUUAACUAGUAGGUAGGGUAACGGCCUACCUAGGCAACGAUACAUAGCCGACCUGAGAGGGUGAACGGCCACACUGGGACUGAGACACGGCCCAGACUCCUACGGGAGGCAGCAGUAGGGAAUCUUCGGCAAUGGACGCAAGUCUGACCGAGCAACGCCGCGUGAGUGAAGACGGUUUUCGGAUCGUAAAGCUCUGUUGUAGGGGAAGAACGUGUGUAAGAGUGGAAAGCUUACACAG